GUGCAAAAAUGAGUACGUAAAUAGUACAAAUAGUUACAUAAGCAACAUGAGCCGUGCCACUAGCAAACGAGUAACAAAUGAAUUCCACACCUUUUAUUUGUCAUAAUAAAAUAUGCCAUUCUGUUUUGUUUGACAGAUGGGCAAUUUAGAUGAGUCCGACAAACGUCAAAGUGUUUUGUGCAAAGUGCUUUUUAAUUAUAUUCAAAAAACUUGUGGGGUUUGCCUUAUUUUUUGUUUUAACCCCAAAUUAAGCCAGAAGAGUCUAACUAACUCAACCCUUAUCAUGGCGAGUGAGUGCAAAAAAAUAAAAAGUCAAAGAAAACAACUAAUAUACAUCAGAUCUGAAAACAAAGAAAUGUUUUUUAAUCAAAUAGCAAAUGGUAACAAAAUGAAAAAUGUGAAAAAUGAAGAAAACGAUGAAGACAAAAGGGUAGAUGUAGACAUUGAUUUUGCACAACCAAGUGGUUCUAGUGGUGUUGUUGAUACAACUGACGCGUUUGAUACAAAUAGUAUUAAUAGAACCGAACGGAAUGAAUCACAAAACGGUUAUGCUAACAACCCUAAUGUUAUUAUCAUUUGUACUAACAGCGAUGGGACUAAUAAUAUGAUUAAUAUAUCUAGUAAAACAAAACAAAAUGAAAAAUAUAAUAUACUAAGAAAUGUUGUAUCUGAUAUUAUUACUGAACAACUAAAGGAAGAAGAAAAAAAAACUAAUUUUAUAGAACAGUUAAAAACAGAUGUUGUUAAGUUAAAAAAUGAGUGUAUAUAUUGGAAAAAAGAAGCUAAUAAUUAUAAUAAUAAAUUAAAAACAUUAAAUAAAAAUUAUUUGAAAAUAAAUGAAUUUCUUUUUAAUACUCUAAAUAAUUCUUAUAGCAAUGGUGAGUUUUAAAUACGUGGAUUUCCUUUCUCUUUUUCUUUUUCAUUUUCUUUUUUUUCUUUUUCUUUUUCAUUUCCUUUUUUUUCUUUUUCUUUUUCAUUUCCUUUUUUUUCUUUUUCUUUUUCAUUUCCUUUUUUUUCUUUUUCUUUUAAUAUGUAACAAAAAUUUUUACAUAAAACAAAGUUUUUUAUUAUUUUGUCAAACAUUAAUGUUAUUAUCAUAAGAUAUUUUUUUUUUUUUUUUUUUUUUUUUUUUUUUUUUUUUUUUUUUU
RNAcentral lists this long non-coding RNA (1148 nucleotides) under Piliocolobus tephrosceles (Ugandan red Colobus). RNAcentral describes it as "lncRNA (ENSPTEG00000012417.1)". The record is from RNAcentral. Lineage: Eukaryota; Metazoa; Chordata; Mammalia; Primates; Cercopithecidae.